RNAcentral lists this ribosomal RNA (322 nucleotides) under uncultured eukaryote. RNAcentral describes it as "partial 18S ribosomal RNA". It matches the Rfam family "Eukaryotic small subunit ribosomal RNA", at positions 1470 to 1796 of the family's 1831-position model. The record is from RNAcentral.
CCCUUAGAUGUUCUGGGCUGCACGCGCGCUACACUGAUACUUUCAGCGAGUCCACCACCUUGCCUGGGAAGGUGGGGUAACCUCUGGAAAGUGCAUCGUGAUGGGGAUCGAUUAUUGUAAUUAUUAAUCUUCAACGAGGAAUUCCUAGUAAGCAUGUGUCAUCAGCCCGUGCUGAUUACGUCCCUGCCCUUUGUACACACCGCCCGUCGCACCUACCGAUUGAAUGGUCCGGUGAAAUCUCGGGACGGCGGCUUGGUCGCUUGCGUCCGACUGCUGAAACUUGAUUAAACCAUAUCAUUUAGAGGAAGGUGAAGUCGUAACA